UACAGCACAGAGCUAGCAAACUUCAUAAAACAGAUAACUAAAAUCCAAGAGAUGAAUACAGACUUCAAUGGUGAAAAUUGGGAAAAACCCUUGAAGCCUCACAUAGUAGUCAACUCCAAUCACUAUAUCAUAAAAAAUUGACUUUUAUUUGUAUUUUUGCUAUAGAAUUCUUCCCUCUUAACCACAAUACCUAGAUACAGAAAACAAUACCCCUCUAAAAAUUAGAUCACUUCGGCUAUGAAAACAUAACGAAAGGGGUUGAAUAACCAAGAAUCAAUUAACUAUUAGGGGUCCUAAAAGUAAAAAAAUUUUAAGCGUUCAAUUUCUUUAAUAUAGCUAAGGUAUGAAAUUGAAAAGGGAUCACAAGGUGGAUUACCGGCGCUGCAUGACGUAGGAGGGUCCUUCUGCAAAUCUUUGAGCUCCUUCAAGAUGCGUUUCGAUGCCAUGCCUACAAAACUACAAAGAUGAAGGAAAAAAACCUGAAAGGGUUGAAAAUAUCGAGAAGGGUUUGGUUUAUAGCUGAUUACCGGAAAAACGAGAGGAAAAGAGAAAUUUGUAAUGAG
Molecule: non-coding RNA, 563 nt
Organism: Arachis ipaensis
Lineage: Eukaryota; Viridiplantae; Streptophyta; Magnoliopsida; Fabales; Fabaceae
Source: RefSeq, a predicted model, not a curated record